UUGCACCGGCAAAUCUAUACGACCAGCUCCUGUUGAACCCCCCCAGGUCCGGAAGGAAGCAAGGGUAGACGGUAGAGCGGUGCGAUAUACGAUUUGCCAUUU
Sporocytophaga myxococcoides is the source of this 102-nucleotide non-coding RNA. It matches the Rfam family "Bacteroidales small SRP". Rfam says of the family: The non-coding component of the signal recognition particle in Bacteroides NCBI's taxonomy places the organism in Bacteria, Pseudomonadati, Bacteroidota, Cytophagia, Cytophagales, Cytophagaceae. The record is from Rfam.